Molecule: non-coding RNA, 2817 nt
Organism: Microcebus murinus (gray mouse lemur)
Lineage: Eukaryota; Metazoa; Chordata; Mammalia; Primates; Cheirogaleidae
Source: RefSeq, a predicted model, not a curated record
CAUGGAAUGAACAAUGGUGGGCAUCCAUACAUCCAAGUGUACAGACAGGUUUUUCCUAUAGUAGUUGGUGUUGUUUGGUACAGAAGGGCUAACAACUAACCAUAUGACUUGAGUAAGGACCAACCAAUGGGUGAAUGGAUAUGUGGAUGGUUUAUGCAUGGGUGGAAAGGGGAUGCAGUAGAAGAGAAUGCUUCUGGCAUGGGCUCUAGGAAGUUUACUGAAAUGUAUACUGAAAUGUUGAUGUAUAUAGUUCAUCCUGAUCCUUUCCAACCUCUCAUCCCCAAGAUGACCAAACUAUUCAACAUAAACUGCUUCUUGCUGCUCUCAAAUACUUCCAGGGCUUCUCUGGUCCUCAUGAAGCACCUGUUUGCUCACAACUUCUUCCUCACAUGCAAGCUGUAUGGGUCCUGUGACCCUAUCAGACCCCUCAGAAGACACUGACUAUUCUGGGCUGAGAUUUUCCAUGGGAGAACCCUAGGACUGGAGAUGGGGCAGUGGGCUUAGGUGAGGUGAUAUCAAACAAGCUUGGGCUUGGUGUCGCUUCCAUUCCAGUGCUGGACACAGCCUUGGCCAGGUGCUGUGGGGGUCCCAGAUGCAUGGGGCCUUGGAAACUUCUGAAAGGGCGUGGAGCUCUCCACUCAGCCUGCUGGAGGAGGAUGGGGGUGAAAGCAACAGAUGUGCUCAAGGUUUUGUUUUCGGUUCCCCAAAGGGUCUUCUCUUUGACCAAAGCAGUGUGACCGUUGCUAUGACAGUUGCUAUCUUGGUCUCUGGGACUCUCCCACACAAGGUAGCGUUACUAUUUUUAAUCUUCUUGGGCCAGUCACCAUGAAACUCAGUAAUAAUCAAACUGGGGUGGGGAUGGCUGUGGGCAUGUUUGGGGCCUGAGUAGUGGAAUGUGAUGGUAGAAGAUGUUGGGGUACCAAGAGGGAUCUUUGGUCAAUUAAGUUAUUUUUCCAAACUAGACUAACACUCCUUCUAGUUGUCUUAGGCUUGGUUGACCAUCCAUUUUUGCAGAGGUUCAUGGGUUCUUCCCCUGAGAUGUUUACAUUUUUUAGCUCAUUAUUGCACCUAGUAAAAACAUAACAGAUAGAAAGAAUGUUGACCUCAAAUUUCAAAUCUGUGUCUAUGUGAUCAGGCCAAGUCAUUCAAUCUCUGCUCUGGAGUCUCCACAGCUGUUAAAUGAGAGAUUUUAUUUCCAAGCUCCUUUCUCACUCUAAGAUUCACUGACACUUUGCCCCUGAAAAUGGCGACCAUGAGUAGUAGUUCUUGAGGAACCAGCACUGUGUUUUAGAGUGAGGGCUGCCUUGACAGGCUGCCUGAGUUUGAAUCCUGGUUUUGGGACUUAUUGAUUGUGUGAUCUUGGAUGUGGUAUUUAUUCUCUUUAAGUCUUAGUUUCCUUAUCUGUAUAAAGGGAGGUAAUACAAGCUAGCCCAGGAGGGAUAGUGACAUGGAGGAUUCAGCCACAGGAUGCUUGUCAGUGUUGAGACAUUGUAUCCAUUACUCCUAUCAUAGAAUAAAAACUUGUUACAAGUUGAUAUGUGCUGAGCUGCCAGCAAUUUCAUAGAGGGUCUCCUCCAUGCCUAUGUGUUUCUUAUUUUUAUCAUCAAUGUUUUAUAGCUGUGUCAUAGGUUGGGGGCUCUUUCUCAUUUGUUCUUGAAGCCAUGAUGAAAUAAAAGCUUGUGUAUUUUAUUGAGAAGGAGUUAUAGAGAGGAAAGCCCUUAUUCACCAUCCAGUCCGACUUUCUUGUUUUAAAGUUUUAAAGGAGCUGACUGAGGCCAACUGUCACUAUUACAAACCAACUUUAAGGAACUUACCAUGUGCAAUGGGCUUGACAACUCUGAUUUAAGUCAUGAUUCUGCCUCUUAAUAGCUUCGUAGUUUUUAAUGUGUUGCAUAACCUUUUUUAGCCUCGGUUUCUUCAUCUAUGAAAUGGACUAAUGCAAGACACUUCAGCGUGUGGUGUGAGGGUCAAAGUGGGUCAUAGAGUUGCUGGCAGAUGUCUCCCUACUUCAUUGCCUUCUCCUCUCUGCCAUCUCUUUUUUUACUGUGUGCCGAGAACUUUGCAGCUUCAGGGACACACAAAAAGUUCCGGCCAGAGUUGGGAGAUAGAAUCUUCUCAUAAAGAGAGAAAUAAGUUCAUGGUAGGGGUAGUAAGGGCUGUUCGAAUCCUGAGAAGAGAUUGGCAGGUGGAUGGAGGAAAGGAUAAGAGGUGCUGGGGAGAGACGGGGAAGAGGGAAAGAGAGAGAGAGAGAGAAGGGAGGACAUCGUGUGUCCAGGAUCAAUGGAGAUGGGGCAAGGGGAAUGGGAAAGAGGAGAGGGAGGGUGGCAGGUGGGGCAAGACAUCAGAGAAGCAAGAUGUCUCUGAACAGCAGGGGUGUCUAUGGGGGGCAUCUUUUCAGGGAAGGAGUCAGCAAGUGGAGCCCUAGGGAGAAGAACUGGCAGGUGACCCUUAUAGCCAGUUGUCCACCUGACGUCUCUACCUGGUUGUCUGACAGGCAUCUCAGACUUAAAGUGUCCAACACAGAGCUCCUGAAGCUUCAGUAGUCAAGGCAAGGUCUAUUGGCAAUAUGAUGGCAAAAGACAUCAGUGGAAUGAGUCAAAAGGUUGCACUUAAGGACCUCGAAGGCCACAUGUGGCUGUGAGCCAACAGGUUCCCCACCCCGUUCUUGGCUGUAUGCAGAAGGCUUAGAAACAAGGUCCCUGUGGAGCACAACCCUACUACGUCUUGACUUCAGAAUGGCAAAAUGGAAUAAGAACAUGGAAAGAACACAAAAUUAGUAGUCAAGAGACUGGUUUUGGCCUCAGUUCUGCUAUGAAC